RNAcentral lists this non-coding RNA (100 nucleotides) under Pseudomonas fulva. RNAcentral describes it as "Glycine sequence". It matches the Rfam family "Glycine riboswitch aptamer". Rfam says of the family: This family represents the bacterial glycine riboswitch. Glycine riboswitches usually consist of two metabolite-binding aptamers domains with similar structures in tandem. The record is from RNAcentral. Lineage: Bacteria; Pseudomonadati; Pseudomonadota; Gammaproteobacteria; Pseudomonadales; Pseudomonadaceae. RNAcentral also lists the same sequence under 1 other name.
UAUACGCCAACUGGAGAGAGGCUGCCGCGCGCAGCCCACCGAAGGGGCAAGCAGCCAGGCGCUGCGCAAACUCUCAGGUACGCAGGACAGAGGGAGAGGC